Molecule: ribosomal RNA, 253 nt
Filed under: uncultured bacterium
Lineage: Bacteria
Description: partial 16S ribosomal RNA
Rfam family: Bacterial small subunit ribosomal RNA
Source: RNAcentral
UACGGGGGGGGUAAGCGUUGUUCGGAAUUACUGGGCGUAAAGGGCUCGUAGGCGGCCAACUAAGUCAUACGUGAAAUCCCUCAGCUCAACUGGGGAACUGCGUGUGAUACUGGAUGGCUUGGAUUUGGGAGAGGGAUGCGGAAUUCCAGGUGUAGCGGUGAAAUGCGUAGAUAUCUGGAGGAACACCGGUGGCGAAGGCGGCAUCCUGGACCAAUAUUGACGCUGAGGAGCGAAAGCUAGGGGAGCAAACGGG